AGAGUUAAAUAGUACGUGAAAUUGUUGAAAGGGAAACGAUUAAAGUCAGUCAUGUUGGUAGGGAAUCAACUUGAUGGUAUGCGAGUUUCUCGUGUCCUUUCUGGUGCACUUCCUUACUUACAGGUUAGCAUCAAUUUUGGUUAUUAUAUAAAAAUUGAGGGAAGGUGACUUUUCUUCGGAAAAGUGUUAUAGACCUUGAUAAAUGUAGUGACCGGGAUUGAGGUUUGCAGCGGAUACCCUUUCGGGCUAGUCACCUGGCUUCUGAUGGUUACCUCGUCUUCGAUAGCAUGCUAACGUUGAUGAGAUUCGAUCGUCUAGAUGUUGGAGUGAUCAUAAAUUCGCUAAGGAUGCUGACGUAAUGGCUUUAAACGACC
RNAcentral lists this ribosomal RNA (374 nucleotides) under Acaulospora morrowiae. Its description in RNAcentral is "partial large subunit ribosomal RNA". The record is from RNAcentral. Lineage: Eukaryota; Fungi; Glomeromycota; Glomeromycetes; Diversisporales; Acaulosporaceae.